UAGGGAAUAUUGGACAAUGGGCGCAAGCCUGAUCCAGCCAUGCCGCGUGAGUGAUGAAGGCCUUAGGGUUGUAAAGCUCUUUCGGCGGGGAAGAUGAUGACGGUACCCGCAGAAGAAGCCCCGGCUAACUUCGUGCCAGCAGCCGCGGUAAUACGAAGGGGGCAAGCGUUGUUCGGAAUUACUGGGCGUAAAGGGCGCGUAGGCGGUCUGUUGCGUUGGGUGUGAAAGCCCCGGGCUCAACCUGGGAUGUGCGCCCGAUACGGACAGGCUCGAGACCGGGAGAGGAGAGUGGAAUUCCCAGUGUAGAGGUGAAAUUCGUAGAUAUUGGGAAGAACACCGGUGGCGAAGGCGGCUCUCUGGCCCGGUUCUGACGCUGAGGCGCGAAAGCGUGGGGAGCAAACAGGAUUAGAUACCCGCGUAGUCC
This 424-nucleotide ribosomal RNA is filed under the name uncultured bacterium. Its description in RNAcentral is "bacterial SSU rRNA". It matches the Rfam family "Bacterial small subunit ribosomal RNA", at positions 355 to 796 of the family's 1533-position model. The record is from RNAcentral.